Molecule: ribosomal RNA, 403 nt
Filed under: bacterium
Lineage: Bacteria
Description: partial 16S ribosomal RNA
Rfam family: Bacterial small subunit ribosomal RNA
Source: RNAcentral
UGGGGAAUAUUGCACAAUGGGGGAAACCCUGAUGCAGCGACGCCGCGUGAACGAAGAAGGUAUUCGUAUCGUAAAGUUCUGUCCUAUGGGAAGAUAAUGACAGUACCAUAGAAGAAAGCUCCGGCUAAAUACGUGCCAGCAGCCGCGGUAAUACGUAUGGAGCGAGCGUUGUCCGGAAUUAAUGGGCGUAAAGGGUACGCAGGCGGUUUAAUAAGUCGAAUGUUAAAGAUCGGGGCUCAACCCCGUAAAGCAUUGGAAACUGAUAAACUUGAGUAGUGGAGAGGAAAGUGGAAUUCCUAGUGUAGUGGUGAAAUACGUAGAUAUUAGGAGGAAUACCAGUAGCGAAGGCGACUUUCUGGACACAAACUGACGCUGAGGUACGAAAGCGUGGGGAGCAAACAGG